ACAACUUGUGCUUAUCACAUAAUACAGACUUAAUACACAUGUAAGCAGAAUAAAGAACAAACAGCUACGUGUCAUAAGAAACACAUGCAAAUCGGAUUUCACUGUUGUCUUGCCGCUGGCAUGGACUAUGCCGGUUCUUCCGUCUUGUUCUUCAUCACCCAACUGUUCCUCUCUAUAUUUGCACUCCUUUAACUCCGAUCUUCCGCCAUAGCCACCGCUUGAAAUUAAAACUCAUGUCUUCUCCGGUUGUUAAAGCGAGAGUAACCGAACUGAUUGAAGAGCAGAAUCUUCGUCAGACCAUCCUAAACUUAGUAGGAUGCUAACUCUACUGGAUCUCCCUUGAAUCAGCCAUAGAAUUUCAUCAACACUUCAUCCUUCCCGCAAGGAUACUUUACUCCGAUGUCAAUUUUCGAAUCCAUAUAUUUGGAUGAGUAAAGAUUGACUCCCAUCUGGAAAAGAAUCUAUGCAUAACCUUUGAAGAACAAGCGUUAACCCAAGCAAGUUGGAAUUUAAUUGAAAGUAUGCGGAAGAGGAGGAGACCAUAAUACUAGAAUUUAUUAGGAUUCAACCAAAACAGAGAAAGAUAGGAAUGAUAAUUGGCUCUGAAAUUGGUUGAAUUAUCAUUACAAAAUCGCCAAACGCGAAGGGGUUUUAUUUUCAUUCCUUUUGUAAAUGAUUUUGAAUAUUAUUAACACAGGGGUUUCCACAAACUUUUAGUCACAGUCUUUACAGAGGACGAGAGUGUAUGUCUGCCUCCCUGACCAUCUCGCCUGAGAAGUGAUUCCAUUUCUUAACUGCUAAAGCUUACUUGCGACUACGAAGACGACAGUCUCCAUUUUCUGAGGUAUCUAGACAUGUUCCGUGACAUAUGUUAAUAGGGUUUUUCUUAUCUUGCUUGAUUUAUCAGUUUCUGUUGCUGCAUGAUGUCGUUUUACAGAUAAGAAUCAUUUCUGUUUUAUUUUUUUAGGGCUCGAAAAUCAGAGACACGAGUUUUGCAUUUUAGGGAUUUAUCCCACCCUUGCUGUUGUUUUACCAAAACUAUGAUUUUUCUUAUACAUUGAAAACCAAAGACAUGGGUUUGCCUUCUUUCAGGGUUUUGUCCUGAGAAUUUCAGUUUUUUUUUUUUUUGAGUUGGUUGUAGGACUGUCGUAGUCAUGGCUGAAAUAGAGGUUCCGGUGUACUGUUACUGGAACGGUUGCAUCAAG
Molecule: long non-coding RNA, 1205 nt
Filed under: Brassica napus (rape)
Lineage: Eukaryota; Viridiplantae; Streptophyta; Magnoliopsida; Brassicales; Brassicaceae
Description: long non-coding RNA (BNAP_LNC014610)
Source: RNAcentral